This is a long non-coding RNA of Cotesia glomerata, 166 nucleotides long. RefSeq lists it as uncharacterized. Lineage: Eukaryota; Metazoa; Arthropoda; Insecta; Hymenoptera; Braconidae. The transcript has 3 exons. The record is from RefSeq and is a predicted model, not a curated record.
AAUAAACACUGAUUUUUGGAAAUGAUUAUUGAGCUGACUCUGGCGACACUGCAAUGCCAGGCAACUCGUGGCGGAACCGGAGCAAGCCCCGGAUUUCCACCUAUUUUCAAAAAUCAGGUUAAUAUACUGGAUUCUCAAUGAGAAUCGUACCAGAUAUUAAGCUGAU